This is a non-coding RNA of Carassius auratus (goldfish), 513 nucleotides long. NCBI's taxonomy places the organism in Eukaryota, Metazoa, Chordata, Actinopteri, Cypriniformes, Cyprinidae. The record is from the annotation of a RefSeq genome assembly.
CUGCUGUAGUGAAACACACAUGGACAAUGAUUCUUCAUUCAGUCAUCCUACUUUGGACCUUGUCAUGUGUGAGUUUUGGAGUUGAAAUCACACCAGACAGCACUGAGGAAUCUGCUGCAGUGGGUUCAACUGUUACUUUAUCCUGCAGUUAUUCCUCUGCAGAAUCACUUCAGUGGUACCGUCAGUAUCCCGGAUCAGCUCCUCAAUUUCUUGUGCUUAUAAUUGAGAGUGUGAAAGAGACUAAGCCAUCUAAUGUAGAUCCCAGGUUCUCUACUAAGCUCAGAAAAGAAAGACAAUCCACAAAAGAGAUCAGCCGUGUGGAUCUGAUCAUCUCCUCUGCUGCUGUAUCAGACUCUGCUCUGUACUACUGUGCUCUGAGGCCCACAGUCACAGGAAACACAAGAACACUCUACAAAAACCUGUCAUGUGAAAAAGCAUAACUAUACCUUCUACAAAUCAGACUAAACAGACUAGAGCAGCCUCAUCACCUGGGGAAAAAACAAAUGAUUCCAA